CGGGUGGUAAUGCCGGAUGCUCCGGUUGGAUGCAUGUCCUUCCGGGAAAGAUUCUAUCGGUAUGGGAUGGGGUCGCGUCCUAUCAGCUUGAUGGCGGGGUAACGGCCCACCAUGGCUUCGACGGGUAGCCGGCCUGAGAGGGCGACCGGCCACAUUGGGACUGAGAUACGGCCCAGACUCCUACGGGAGGCAGCAGUGGGGAAUAUUGCACAAUGGGCGCAAGCCUGAUGCAGCGACGCCGCGUGCGGGAUGGAGGCCUUCGGGUUGUAAACCGCUUUUGAUCGGGAGCAAGCCCUUCGGGGUGAGUGUACCUUUCGAAUAAGCACCGGCUAACUACGUGCCAGCAGCCGCGGUAAUACGUAGGGUGCAAGCGUUAUCCGGAAUUAUUGGGCGUAAAGGGCUCGUAGGCGGUUCGUCGCGUCCGGUGUGAAAGCCCAUCGCUUAACGGUGGGUCUGCGCCGGGUACGGGCGGGCUGGAGUGCGGUAGGGGAGACUGGAAUUCCCGGUGUAACGGUGGAAUGUGUAGAUAUCGGAAAAGAAACACCA
This 546-nucleotide ribosomal RNA is filed under the name Bifidobacterium dentium. RNAcentral describes it as "bacterial SSU rRNA". It matches the Rfam family "Bacterial small subunit ribosomal RNA", at positions 157 to 711 of the family's 1533-position model. Lineage: Bacteria; Bacillati; Actinomycetota; Actinomycetes; Bifidobacteriales; Bifidobacteriaceae. The record is from RNAcentral.